Molecule: ribosomal RNA, 253 nt
Filed under: uncultured bacterium
Lineage: Bacteria
Description: partial 16S ribosomal RNA
Rfam family: Bacterial small subunit ribosomal RNA
Source: RNAcentral
UACGAAGGGGGCUAGCGUUGUUCGGAAUUACUGGGCGUAAAGCGUACGUAGGCGGACUUGUAAGUAGGGGGUGAAAUCCCCAGGCUCAACCUGGGAACUGCCUUCUAGACUGCAAGUCUUGAGAUCAGGAGAGGCGAGUGGAAUUCCGAGUGUAGAGGUGAAAUUCGUAGAUAUUCGGAGGAACACCAGUGGCGAAGGCGACUCGCUGGACUGAUACUGACGCUGAGGUACGAAAGCGUGGGGAGCAAACAGG